GUGUCUAAGGGGCAAAGCCAAGAAAAUCAUGGAGGGACAUACACCUUCAGCCAGGCAACAACUGUGCUGCCACUGCCCAACCCAGGAUGCCGGAGGAAUUGAAUCAGACGAUAACUUUUCUGCACUUUUCCUGGUGACUCUUGGAUCAGUGGCUCCUUUGAAAGUAAUUGGGCUUUAAGGCCAUUUCAACCAAGCAGAAUUGUGAAGACAAACAUAAAGAAACAAAGAUGAGAGUCCCACCCACUGAGGAAGAGAAAGAGCUGAAGAACAGGAGCAGAGGGAAAGGACAGAAAGAAACCCACUAAGCCUCCCUCCAGGUGACUGAGAGAUUUUUCGUCUUGGUUCAAGUCCUUUGUAAGGCUUAGCUAUAAUUCCUACCCUUGCAUUCUGCAUAAUUACCCUGUGUAC
RNAcentral lists this long non-coding RNA (408 nucleotides) under Homo sapiens (human). RNAcentral describes it as "HSALNT0084841". Lineage: Eukaryota; Metazoa; Chordata; Mammalia; Primates; Hominidae. The record is from RNAcentral.